GAAAUGCGAUAAGUAAUGUGAAUUGCAGAAUUCAGUGAAUCAUCGAAUCUUUGAACGCACAUUGCGCCCCCUGGUAUUCCGGGGGGCAUGCUUGUUCGAGCGUCAUUUCACCACUCAAGCCUCGCUUGGUAUUGGGCGACGCGGUCCGCCGCGCGCCUCAAAUCGACCGGCUGGGUCUUUCGUCCCCUCAGCGUUGUGGAAACUAUUCGCUAAAGGGUGCCGCGGGAGGCCACGCCGUAAAACAACCCCAUUUCUAAGGUUGACCUCGGAUCAGGUAGGGAUACCCGCUGAACUUAAGC
RNAcentral lists this unclassified non-coding RNA (299 nucleotides) under plant metagenome. Its description in RNAcentral is "partial contains 5.8S ribosomal RNA, internal transcribed spacer 2, and large subunit ribosomal RNA". The stretch from base 1 to 105 matches the Rfam family "5.8S ribosomal RNA", at positions 50 to 154 of the family's 154-position model. The record is from RNAcentral.